CGCUUCUCGAUGCCACUUCCGCAACACUUCAGACUCCGCCUCUGCGUCCGCGACGGCCUUCCACUCGAGUCCCAGUUGGAUUUUUACUUGUUGUAGCUCGGCCGUCUUCUCCCCAAGUGAGACAGAGAUCCCCUCGACGGUACCUCUCAAGGCUCGAAGCUCUUCGGUGUCUUGGGCGUUCGUAAGCUGCGCCCUGGUAACCAGCUGCUUCUGAAGACGAACGACCUCGUCCGCCGCCUGCCGAAAUCUCCUCUUGUACUCUUCCCCUUGCCGG
RNAcentral lists this long non-coding RNA (274 nucleotides) under Elaeis guineensis (African oil palm). RNAcentral's name for it is "long non-coding RNA (EGUI_LNC068679)". The record is from RNAcentral. Lineage: Eukaryota; Viridiplantae; Streptophyta; Magnoliopsida; Arecales; Arecaceae.